RNAcentral lists this ribosomal RNA (491 nucleotides) under uncultured bacterium. RNAcentral describes it as "partial 16S ribosomal RNA". It matches the Rfam family "Bacterial small subunit ribosomal RNA", at positions 29 to 506 of the family's 1533-position model. The record is from RNAcentral.
AGUGAACGCUGGCGGUAGGCCUAACACAUGCAAGUCGAACGGCAGCACAGUAAGAGCUUGCUCUUACGGGUGGCGAGUGGCGGACGGGUGAGGAAUACAUCGGAAUCUACUUUUUCGUGGGGGAUAACGUAGGGAAACUUACGCUAAUACCGCAUACGACCUACGGGUGAAAGCAGGGGAUCUUCGGACCUUGCGCGAUUGAAUGAGCCGAUGUCGGAUUAGCUAGUUGGCGGGGUAAAGGCCCACCAAGGCGACGAUCCGUAGCUGGUCUGAGAGGAUGAUCAGCCACACUGGAACUGAGACACGGUCCAGACUCCUACGGGAGGCAGCAGUGGGGAAUAUUGGACAAUGGGCGCAAGCCUGAUCCAGCUAUACCGCGUGGGUGAAGAAGGCCUUCGGGUUGUAAAGCCCUUUUGUUGGGAAAGAAAAGCAGCAGGUUAAGACCCCGCUGUUCUGACGGUACCCAAAGAAUAAGCACCGGCGAACUUCGG